Molecule: ribosomal RNA, 454 nt
Filed under: uncultured bacterium
Lineage: Bacteria
Description: partial 16S ribosomal RNA
Rfam family: Bacterial small subunit ribosomal RNA
Source: RNAcentral
ACGGAAGGCAGCAGUGAGGAAUAUUGGUCAAUGGUCGGAAGACUGAACCAGCCAAGUAGCGUGCGGGAUGACGGCCCUAUGGGUUGUAAACUGCUUUUGUGCGGGAAUAACGGUCUCCUCGUGAGGGGAUGUGCAUGUACCGUACGAAUAAGGAUCGGCUAACUCCGUGCCAGCAGCCGCGGUAAUACGGAGGAUCCGAGCGUUAUCCGGAUUUAUUGGGUUUAAAGGGAGCGUAGGCGGAAGAUCAAGUCAGCUGUGAAAUGUAGACGCUCAACGUAUGGACUGCAGUUGAAACUGGUUGUCUUGAGUGCGUAAGGGGAAGGCGGAAUUCGUCGUGUAGCGGUGAAAUGCUUAGAUAUGACGAAGAACGCCGAUCGCGAAGGCAGCUUGCCGGGCCGCAACUGACGCUGAAGCUCGAAGGUGCGGGUAUCGAACAGGAUUAGAUACCCUGGUA